AUUGAACGCUGGCGGCAGGCCUAACACAUGCAAGUCGAACGGUAACAGGAAGCAGCUUGCUGCUUUGCUGACGAGUGGCGGACGGGUGAGUAAUGUCUGGGAAACUGCCUGAUGGAGGGGGAUAACUACUGGAAACGGUAGCUAAUACCGCAUAACGUCGCAAGACCAAAGAGGGGGACCUUAGGGCCUCUUGCCAUCGGAUGUGCCCAGAUGGGAUUAGCUAGUAGGUGGGGUAACGGCUCACCUAGGCGACGAUCCCUAGCUGGUCUGAGAGGAUGACCAGCCACACUGGAACUGAGACACGGUCCAGACUCCUACGGGAGGCAGCAGUGGGGAAUAUUGCACAGUGGGCGCAAGCCUGAUGCAGCCAUGCCGCGUGUAUGAAGAAGGCCUUCGGGUUGUAAAGUACUUUCAGCGGGGAGGAAGGGAGUAAAGUUAAUACCUUUGCUCAUUGACGUUACCCGCAGAAGAAGCACCGGCUAACUCCGUG
This 490-nucleotide ribosomal RNA is filed under the name uncultured bacterium. RNAcentral's name for it is "partial 16S ribosomal RNA". It matches the Rfam family "Bacterial small subunit ribosomal RNA", at positions 30 to 507 of the family's 1533-position model. The record is from RNAcentral.